ACGUAGGUGGCAAGCGUUGUCCGGAAUUAUUGGGCGUAAAGAGCGCGCAGGUGGUUAUACAAGUCUCAUGUGAAAGUGCGGGGCUCAACUCAGUGUUGCAUGGGAAACUGGAUGACUUGAGUGCAGGAGGGGUAGGCGGAAUUCCUAGUGUAGCGGUGAAAUGCGUAGAUAUUAGGAGGAACACCAGUGGCGAAGGCGGCUUACUGGACUGUAACUGACACUGAGGCGCGAAAGCUAGGGUAGCAAACGG
RNAcentral lists this ribosomal RNA (250 nucleotides) under uncultured prokaryote. RNAcentral's name for it is "partial 16S rRNA". It matches the Rfam family "Bacterial small subunit ribosomal RNA", at positions 525 to 775 of the family's 1533-position model. The record is from RNAcentral.